GUAAAGCGCGCGCAGGCGGAUUGGUCAGUCUGUCUUAAAAGUUCGGGGCUUAACCCCGUGAUGGGAUGGAAACUGCCAAUCUAGAGUAUCGGAGAGGAAAGUGGAAUUCCUAGUGUAGCGGUGAAAUGCGUAGAUAUUAGGAAGAACACUAGUGGCGAAGGCGACUUUCUGGACGAAAACUGACGCUGAGGCGCGAAAGCCAGGGGAGCGAACGGGAUUAGAUACCCCGGUAGUCCUGGCCGUAAACGAUGGGUACUAGGUGUAGGAGGUAUCGACCCCUUCUGUGCCGGAGUUAACGCAAUAAGUACCCCGCCUGGGGAGUACGACCGCAAGGUUGAAACUCAAAGGAAUUGACGGGGGCCCGCACAAGCGGUGGAGUAUGUGGUUUAAUUCGACGCAACGCGAAGAACCUUACCAGGUCUUGACAU
RNAcentral lists this ribosomal RNA (428 nucleotides) under uncultured bacterium. RNAcentral describes it as "bacterial SSU rRNA". It matches the Rfam family "Bacterial small subunit ribosomal RNA", at positions 560 to 987 of the family's 1533-position model. The record is from RNAcentral.